This 1913-nucleotide long non-coding RNA is filed under the name Coffea arabica (coffee). RNAcentral describes it as "long non-coding RNA (CARA_LNC005057)". The record is from RNAcentral. Lineage: Eukaryota; Viridiplantae; Streptophyta; Magnoliopsida; Gentianales; Rubiaceae.
UUUUCUUGUCUUCCUUGGCUGAAUUAGAGAGAGAGAAAAGAGAGAAAAUCCCUUCAUCUUCCACUUCAAUUUCUUGUCCAAAUUUUGAGUUUUAACCGAUUAAUUUGCAAACUACUCCAUAAAACUUGCUUUCCAAGUAGUUUCCAAGGUGUUUAUGGAAGGAUUUUUGGAGGACAAAGCCUAAGCUACCAUUUUUCUUGAGUUUUCAAGGUAUUUUACCAAGAACCUCUUCUUUACUUCAAUUAAUUGGUAAUUAGUGGUUGAAAGUUGUAGUUUUGGUAGUUUAUGAGUAUAUUUCAUAGUUGGAAGUAGUAUUAUGGAAAUUCCAGUUUAAGGUUUCAUUUUUCCCCUUUCUGUCCGUUUCUGUUCGACCAGGUUAGAGGCCGAAUUGGCCUUAGCACAAAACAUGAAAGUUGUAGAAAAUGAUGUUUGCUAGUUGCCUGUAAAAUUUCAGCCCAAUCGGAGCAACGUAGCCUGUGAAAAGACCGAAAUACCCCUGCUGCCCUGUUUCUAUCCGAGAAUGAUAAUCAGCUUCUGUAAUUGGUUGUUUUGACCAGGAAUACUACUGAUUUGGUUGUUGAUGUCUUCUUAACAUUUAUAGCCUUGUAUCUUAGCUUUCCAAUGGCUUUGGAAUCACUUCAAUUGGAGUUGUAGGUGCUGAGAUAUGACUGCAUAAGUCAGGACUGCUGCAGUACACUUUGAACUGGAAAAUCUUGGGUUGUUUUGGUAAAUUUGACCUAGUUAGGAUGAGAACUGGAAUGUAUUGUCUUCAUUAAAGUUGUAUAUAUUGAUGUGUUUGAGGUUCCUGUAAAAUUUCAGGCCAAUCGGAGUAGCGUAGCUCAUGAAAAGACGGAAUUACCCUUGCUGUCCUGUUUUUACCCGAACUUGAAAACUGCUUCAGUAAUUGGCUAUUUUGGUUGGGAUUACUUCUGAUUUGGGUUUUGGUGCCUUCUUAGGAAAUGUAGCCCCUUGAGUCCUGAGUAUGCCUGUAAAAUUUCAGGUCAAACAAGUUAGCGUAUUCUGAGUUAUAGACAAAACCCUCAGGCCUGUUUUAGACAUUGGUUUGUGUACGUUUUGAAUUUCAGCUUCUGCCCGUGAUUUUUCGGUUUUGAUCCCGUACGAACUGGGUGCUGAUCCCUUCAUAAGAAAUUUAGAUCUUGAUCUUAGCUUCGAAACGGUAUAAAGUACGCCGAAAUCCGAGUUCCGUAGCCCCUGUUAUGAUCAAAACAAUAUCGCUCGUCAGAACUGCCUUGUAUCUGGACAGUUCUGACGGGUACCUUGGCACUCGAUUUUCGUUCUGUUCUGAGUGGAUUCAAGUCUUGGCCAAAACAUCAAAGUUUUAACCUUAUAUUUCAGCUUUCUAACGCCUCUGGAAUUUCUUGAUUUCGAUUCCUGAGCCGUGAGUUAUGGCCUUGCAAACAGGGCCUGUGUGGUAAACCGCAAUGAAACAGCUGGCACUAUUUCGUGCAUUUUUGACCUAUACCUAUUGAGAUCUGGGUUGAGAUGUCUAAAGGGAAGUUGUAGCCCUUCCUCUUAGCUUCGCAACGGUACCUCAUGUACCUUGAUCCGAUACUCCUAGCCUAACUUUUGACCAAAACGGUUUGAGAUGGCAGUUGUGGCCGUUUCCGUUUGCCGUUCCGCGCGCGCGCGUGCGCCCCUUUUUGCCGUUUCCGCAAAUUACGUGUGCCAAUUUUGCCGUUUUACUUGUUUUGGAUCGGUUCGUAGCCGUUUGUGACAUAAGUGAUAAAAUCUUGUAUUUCAGAUAGUGGUGAGCUAGGCGGAGCCGGUGGGGCCCACUACUAGCGAUCACGCGCGAAGCAAUCUUGUACUACUUUUGGUAUUUUGAGUAAGUAUUCAGGCCAGUUUGGUGUGUUUUCUUUGCUAUGUGUUUGAGAUAUGUGAAAAGGGCACUU